GCCGGCGGCACUAGCGCGGUGGUCCCACCUGACCCCAUGCCGAACUCAGAAGUGAAACGCCGUAGCGCCGAUGGUAGUGUGGGGUCUCCCCAUGUGAGUAGGGAACUGCGGGCA
This 114-nucleotide ribosomal RNA is filed under the name Klebsiella pneumoniae. Lineage: Bacteria; Pseudomonadati; Pseudomonadota; Gammaproteobacteria; Enterobacterales; Enterobacteriaceae. The record is from RNAcentral.